GGCAGUAGUAGUUCAGUGGUUAACACAUCAGACUACUGAUCAGAUGGUCGUGAAUUCAAAUCCCAGCACUGCCA
Pangasius djambal is the source of this 74-nucleotide non-coding RNA. NCBI's taxonomy places the organism in Eukaryota, Metazoa, Chordata, Actinopteri, Siluriformes, Pangasiidae. The record is from the annotation of a GenBank genome assembly.